CGGGGCUAUCAUGCAGUCGAGCGGACGGAUGGGAGCUUGCUCCCUGAAGUCAGCGGCGGACGGGUGAGUAACACGUGGGCAACCUGCCUGUAAGACUGGGAUAACUCCGGGAAACCGGGGCUAAUACCGGAUAACUCUUUUCCUCACAUGAGGAAAAGCUGAAAGAUGGUUUCGGCUAUCACUUACAGAUGGGCCCGCGGCGCAUUAGCUAGUUGGUGAGGUAACGGCUCACCAAGGCCACGAUGCGUAGCCGACCUGAGAGGGUGAUCGGCCACACUGGGACUGAGACACGGCCCAGACUCCUACGGGAGGCAGCAGUAGGGAAUCUUCCGCAAUGGACGAAAGUCUGACGGAGCAACGCCGCGUGAGUGAUGAAGGUUUUCGGAUCGUAAAACUCUGUUGUCAGGGAAGAACAAGUACCGGAGUAACUGCCGGUACCUUGACGGUACCUGACCAGAGAGCCACGGCUAACUACGUGCCAGCAGCCGCGGUAAUACGUAGGUGGCAAGCGUUGUCCGGAAUUAUUGGGCGUAAAGCGCGCGCAGGCGGGUCCUUUAGUCUGAUGUGAAAAGCCCCCGCCUCACCCGGGGAAGGGUCAUUGGAAACUGGGGAACUUGGAGUGCAGAAGAAAAAAAUGGUAUUUCCCGGUGUAGCGAUGAAAUGGGUAGAAAUGUGGGAGAACCACCAGUGGCGAAGGCGAAUUUUUGGUCUGUAACUUGAAGCUGACUCGCGGGAGGCGUGGGGAAGCUAUAUAAUUGAUUUUCCUGGGUAGGCCCGCGCCGUAACCGAUGAAUUCCAGGAUGUAAUAAGUGUUGCUCGCCUUUUAUU
Molecule: ribosomal RNA, 828 nt
Filed under: Bacillus sp. PAH-35
Lineage: Bacteria; Bacillati; Bacillota; Bacilli; Caryophanales; Bacillaceae
Description: bacterial SSU rRNA
Rfam family: Bacterial small subunit ribosomal RNA
Source: RNAcentral